UUUUUUUUUUUUCUUUUAAGAUUUAUCUUAGUGAGAGCACGAGUGUGUGAGUGGUGAGAGGGUAGGAGGGAGAGAAUCUUCAACCAGACUCCCCGCUGAGCAAAGAGCCCAACAGGGGGCUCCAUCUCAUGACCCAUAAGAUCACAACCUGACCAAAGCCAAGAAUCAGACACCUAAACCGAAUGAGCCACCCAGGUGCCCCAACCCUGCUGUUGUACCACAAAAGCAGUCAUAGACAAUGUAUAAGGGAACAUCCGUGGCUGUGUUUCAACAAACUUUAUUUACAAAAAUAAAUGGUGGAAAAAAAUAAAUAAAUAAAUGGUGGGCCACACUUGGCCCACAUAGCACGAUUUGCCAACUCCUGAGAGAGAUCACUGAAGAGAUUACAGAAUCAACUUUGUACUGACUUCCCCCACUAUUUGGCUUCAUUUAUCAGCUUACAUAUUGUUCAUUACACUGAAAAAUCUUUCUACAGCUGCGUUCAGGACAGGAAUCAAAGCCUGAAAAUGAAUUAAUUUCAAAAAUAUUAGAGCAUCUGUUAAUUAAGUAACUGUGCUGGCCCCACAGGGAGAAACAUGGUAUAGUUAAAGACAGAACUUCACCAUAAAGGGAAUUAGGAAAGAGAUCUUUUUUUCCUAAGUGAGAGCCAUUAAAUUUUUCUGAUUUCAUCAUGAUCAAAUAUUUACUACAAGAAAUGCAGCAUGUGCUGAAGCCACAAAAAUACAAUAUAAAAAAUUACUCACAGGACACAUUUCCUAGGUACCUUGCAUAAAUAUUUAAAGCUUCUUUUGGUAAAAUUUUCUACCAAAUACACUGGAAAACAAUUGCUUAUACAAUGCAAAUGUAACUCUUUUCUUAAAAAGCAAUCAUUUUUAUCAAGGAAUUGAAUUUUCACAAAAUGAAAGAAAAGGCCAAUUUACUUAUUUGAGCAGUAAAUAAAUAAAUAUAGGAAUGAGUGAAUAAAAUACAGACAAGGGUCUGGAACUACUUGCUAUUGCAGUAGAGUAUAUUAUUGGCUCAGAGUUCUUUCUUCUUCCCUAAUCCUUACCCAUAUUCUCUGAAGUUCACCUCCCCCGUCCCACUGAUGUUGUGCUCAGCCGAGUGACUUGUUUUGGCCAAUGGAGUGUCAACAGAAUUAAUAGUGUGGCAUUUCAGAGCAGAGGCUUUUAACGAUGUCUCACAAGUUUGUUUUUCCCUCUUGCGCUCUGCCAAGAGCCAUCUGCCAUCUUCCAUGGGGAAAGAUGGCCCUUUGCAGUUGUUACCUAUAAUGUAGAACAUGUGGAACAGAUUUGAAUAUGCACUUAAACCCAACUCUUAGCCCAAAGCAGAACCACUCCAAUCAAUCUACAGAUCUGUGGGUGACAAAAUUAAUGCUUGUUGUUAUAUGCCAUUGAGAUUCUGGAGUUGUUGUUCUGCAGUGUUAUCACAUUAAAGCUGACUAAUACAGCUAUUACUUAUCAUAUUAUUUGCCACUUGAUAUUAUCUAUUUUGUAUUAUUUACUAAUUGUUCUUGCUUAAUCAGAAAAUAUUUUUUACAUUGUCAUACAAAAAAUCAUGGUUUGUAAAUAAACUGUCAUCGGUUUAGUAAAAAUGUCUCAACUCUCUUAAUAAACCCAGAUAUCAAGUGUGACUAAGCCUAAUAACUUCAUGGAACUCACUUUCAAAAACUUUUUAACUUUCCAAAUUUUUAAAUGGUGCAGCAUGGUAGUAUUUUGAAAUACUAACAGAUGUGUCCUUUAUUAUUCCAUAAGUUUCACUGAAUCACUACCUGUAGGACCUUUUCUCAGUCCAAGGGCUAGAAAAGAGACCCCUCUUAACCUAAGAAGUAAUGAUGCCACCUAAGAAGUAAUGAUGCCAGCUAUGGAUUGCAACCAUCAAUGGAUCACCAAACUGAUUAAGUACAUCUUAACCAAGAUAUUUUAAAUAAAAAGCAGAUUAGAAAACAUCAGAUUAUAUCACUCAUAAACAGGUAAAUAUUGUUUUACAAAUAUAUGGGAGAAAAAGAAAGACUGAAAUGUGAAAAAAGUCAAAACAAAAACAACUGGGAACCAAUGUCUUAAAGGAAGUUUUAUAUUAGUGGAAUUGAAGGCAUCAAAUACUUAGUUCCAGUUCAAUACCUGACUCUUCUCCAAACUGCAAUAGGCACUUUACUUCCUGCAACAUUCUGGGAUUAUACCUACAUAUAAGGUAAAAUCGAAAGACAUCAUGUAAACAUGGAAAGACCACAAUAAAUAGUAUAUAAAACAAAGUAAUUAUUGAAGGCAUUGCCAUUAAAAUCAGGACCAAGAUAGAAAUGUCUACUAUGACCCUUAAUUUCCAAUGAUGUUUAGAAAGUUUUAGUUCAUGCACUAAGACAAACAGAAUAUGAAAAAGAAAUAUCUUUCCUUCUUGAUGACGAUUGGAUUCCCAGAAAAUUUAAGAUUUAAUAGAAGACAAUUAAUUUGGCAAUGGGGCUAAAUACAAAAUAAAUACAUAAAAUUAACAUCUUUUAUCCAGAUUAACAACAAUAAUCAAUUGAAAAUAUAUGUGAAAAAAAUCAAGAUUGUGAUCAAAACUAUAUAACACAUAAGAACAAGUGCGUUUUUUUUUUAAAGUUACAGGACCUAAGUGAAAGGGCAAGCCAUACAGUAGGAAAAGAUAUUCACAAAGCAUAUAUUCAACAAAAGAACAUAUAAACUGAAUUUUUUUUUAAGUAGGCUCCAUGCCCAGCAUGAGCACUAUGCCGAGCUUACACUCAUGACCCUGAGGUCAAGACCUAAGCUGAGCUUAAGAGUCAGAUGCUUAACCGGCUGAGCCACACAAGUGCCCCCAGAAUAUAUAUUUUAAAAUUCUUUCAAAUCAGUAAGAAAAGACAGCCAGUCCAUUAAAAAAAAAAAAAGGUAAAAGACUUAAACCACACACUCUAUAAAAGAGGCUACCCAAAUGAUUAAAAAAGCCUAUGAAAAAUAUUUAACAUCAUUGGGCAAAAUGAGAUACUACAUACUCAUCAGAAUGGCUAACAUUCUCACUGACAACCUAAGUUGGCAAGAAUAGGGAGGUCUGGUCUGUCACAAAGUUGGCAGUAGCAUCACUUGGCACAGGAACUUUACAGAACUCUGGCAUUCUCUGUUAGAGGUAAACACCUGCAUACAUCUGUCCAGUAAUUCCAUUCCUGGCAUAUCCUCAAUGGAAAUGUGUACAUUAGUGGACCAAGAGACAUGUAUAAGAAUGGUUUGGGUAUUAUUUGUAACAGCCAGAACUUUAAACAACCCAGAUGUCCAGCCAGAGUAGAAUGGAGGAGCAGAAAUGUAAAUGAUACAUCCACUGGAAAUGGGUGGUGAAGGGUGGAAAUGGGUGGAAAUGGUAUGGUGAUUCCUCAAAAAAUUAAUCAUAUGGUUGAGCAAUUCCACUUCUGGGCAUAUACUCAAAAGAGCAGAAAGCAGAGAUCUGAAUGGAUAGCUGUACACCUAUGUUUCUACUAGUAUUAUUCACAAUAGUUAAAAGGUGGAAGCGACCCAAGUGCCCCUCAACAAGUAAAUGGAUAAACACAGAGAAAAUAAAAUGAAUGGAAAACAAAAAUAUUCCAUACAAUGUAAUAUUAUUUAGCCUUAGAAAGAAAAGAAAAUCUGACUCAUGCUACAACACAGAUGAUGAAACUUGAAGACAUUAAUUACACUAAUGAAGUAAGCCAGAUGCAAAAGCACCAAUAUGAUAUGAUACCACUUAUAUGAGGUACCUAGUAUAGCCAGGCUCUUAGAGGUGGAAAGUAGAAUGAUGGUGGCAAGGGGAUGAGAGAAGGAGAAAUGAGGAGUGACUGUUUAAUGCCUAUAGAUUUGAGUUGGGAUGACAAAAGAUCCCUGGAGAUAGAUAGUUGUGAGGGUUGCACAACACUGUACACAUCCUUAAUGCCACUGAAAGGUACACUUAAAAAUGAUUAAAAUGGUGAGUUUUAUGUUAUUUAUAUUUUACCACAAUAAAAAAAUUAACAUUAGAAUUGAUAAGUUGCCAUAUAUUCCUAUAAUAGAAUCAUAUAAAUCAAUGAAAAUGAAGACAACACAGAUUUUUAAUUUUUAAAAUCCAGUAGCUUAAAAAAGUUAGGCGUAUAUUUGAAUAUAUAUAAACAACGACAAAAAACAGAUGCAAAAGGACACUUUUACAUACUUAGAAAUAUAGAAAACAUGUUUUUAGCCAUUUGAGAAUUGCAUUGUGUUCCAGCUUUAUCCAUGAAGUCUUCUGAAAACUGAGGCCAAGAAAAUUUCAAAUGAUUAAGACAAAUACUUACAUAGCUUUUUUAAAAAUAUAUUUUACUGAAUAAACAAAAAGCAGAAACACCAAGCUAUCUGACUCCAUUCUGGGCCCUGGCAUCCCUUCCCUAGCUGCACAGAUUGUUCCCUCCAGCACAGUUCUGAGAUCACAAUCACCUGGCUAGGAGGUAAAGUAAUCAAGGCAGGGAAUGCUUGCUUCUACAGUAUGAGAUCUGGAGGACAGAGAGACAGAGUCCGGAAUGGCCUUCCGAGAGGUUCCUUGCAAAGACUGCAGUUUUUUAUUUAUGUUUCUGAUGCAGGCAGGGAUAGAUUGUUUCAAGUGGCCAAGAAAUAAAAUCCUAUCCAGUUACUCUACAGUCCUUUGGAGAAGAAAAGAUUCCCGGGGCUCCCAUCAAACACUGAACCCAGUGAGAUGCACAGAUACUCAUCCUCCUCUCUUAAAAUCCAGGAGGAGGAUGCUGCCAGCACCAUGCACAGUUAGGGGGUGAAGGCUAACUCAUACCCGGAGCCCAUGAGCCAGGUCUGACUAGCCCUCCGAGGCUCCAAUGUCAAGUGAGCAGAAAAGAGCAACAGAGCACCGUGCAAACAAGGUAGGCCCAGACAAAAAAGAAACUACACUCAGGCUACUGAGGAAAAUUCACUAGGUUUAUUCUUUUAAAAGAAUGACAAACACUCAAAUAAGCAGAAAAGUUAUUACAGCCCUAUAGUACUCUCCUAGGGUUCUCUCACAGAGCCUUCAGAAGGAGCACGGCCCUGCUCACACUGCUAUUAGCUGCCAGAUAUGUGAGGAUUAAUUUCUGCUGCUUUAAGGCACCUACUGUGUGCCAAUUUGUUAUAGCAGCCCUAGGAAACUAAUACAGUGAAAUACACAAAAAAGUAUAUUUGAUGGAAAUGGACAGUUCAAAAUCAGUAAUAAUAAAAUAAACACCCUUUAUCUGUAACCUACUUUUGAAGCCCAUCCAGAGUGCCCUUCGUGGAUCACUGUCCCACCCGUGUCUCUACUAUCCGAAAUUCUGUGUUAAGCAUUCCUUUCAUUUUCUUUAUAAUUUCUUUAUGCAUACAUUUAUAAAUAUAUCCCUCAAACAACAUAGUAUUUAGUCUUGCCUGUUUUGAGCUUUUGUAAAAAUUGAGCCAUACCUUAUAUAUUCUUCUUUAUAUGUUCUUUAAACAAUUUUGUUUUUAAAAGUAAUUCAUGAUGAUGUAUAAUAUUUCAUAUACAAUCUAUUCAUUUUGUUACAAAUAACACUUCAGUGAUUUCCUAAUAUUUUGUUAUUAUAAACAACAUUACCAUUAACAUUCUCAUAUACGUCUCUUAAUACAUAUGGACAUUAUUUUAGAACUAUAAAAACCUGAAUUACAAUAGGUUUAGCAUUGAAAUAGAGUUUCUACCUAACAGGAGAAUUGCUGAAUUAUAGGUUGCAUUUAUGUUCAACUUUAUGAAAGUAUAUUUUAAAUACAUAGAUAAUAGAAUUAAGAGGAACUUUUUAGAUGUCAAAUCACAGACUCAAUGAACCAAGACAGACGAGAUAAAAAAAAAAAAA
RNAcentral lists this long non-coding RNA (5785 nucleotides) under Canis lupus familiaris (dog). Its description in RNAcentral is "lncRNA (ENSCAFG00845005325.1)". The record is from RNAcentral. Lineage: Eukaryota; Metazoa; Chordata; Mammalia; Carnivora; Canidae.